AACUUGGUAUUCGUUGAUAAGCAAGCGACAGAAAACUUCUAUCUUGCCUUUUUUUGCUUUUCUUUUCCCUUUAACGAGCAUCGCCAACAACAACCGUCCACGAUGGAGGGUGAUAAAUUAAAAUCUUUUUUGUUAAUGCAAAUGGGUUUCUUUAUUCAAGAUGCUUACAGUGAUUUAAAUAUUAAUAAUAUUGAUAACAAGAUUGUAGGGGGCGUUAUAGCCAGUAUUGAGGACGCUCCUUAUUAUGUAAUGGUGAUUGCAGAAAGAAGUAGACGUCAAAAUCUUUGUGGAGGAUCUAUACUUACUGAAAAACAUGUUCUUACUACUGCGACCUGUGUCAGAGGUUAUUUAGCUGUUAAGGUGAGACCGGGUAUAUCAAGUAGAAAUGAAUCGGAAAAGGACAAACCAUUCAUAAAUGGAACCUAUAUCUAUCAUGAUAAAUAUAAAAGUUUUAAUAUGGACUAUGAUAUCGCACUUAUUCUAUUAAAUAUUUCAAUUGUAUUUGGAGCCACACAACAACCUAUUAAGGUCAUAGAAGCUGGAACUGAACUUCCUGCAGGCACGAACGUUAGAGCGUUUGGAUUUGGAUAUAGAAAGGAAGAUGGUCCUCCCAGUGAUCACUUAUGGUCAGCUUACAUGAAAAUAUCUUCUUAUGAAGACUGUCACCGAAAAUAUCGCGCAGCUUUCGCCCCCACAGCGAGGCAGUACUGUGCUGGUAAUGAAAAUGGCAGUAACAGUACUUGCCGGGGCGAUUUCGGCGGUCCUCUAGUAUUAACCUCGUCACAAGAACUGAUCGGAAUGCCGAGCGGUACUGUCUAUUGUGAAAAAAAAUUGGCACUUUCACUCUAUACCAACUUGGCGAAUACAGAAUUGAAUGAUUGGAUAACACAACAUACAAGUGACAUUAAAUAAUACCUUAGAAAUAUGUACGUGUACACAUUAAUUAUUGUUUUAUGAAGGCAUUAAAUAUUAAUGUUAACGAAUAUAAAUUGUGCGUAAAAUAAC
This is a long non-coding RNA of Leptidea sinapis, 1005 nucleotides long. RefSeq lists it as uncharacterized. The transcript is spliced from 6 exons. The record is from RefSeq and is a predicted model, not a curated record. NCBI's taxonomy places the organism in Eukaryota, Metazoa, Arthropoda, Insecta, Lepidoptera, Pieridae.